AUACGGAGGGUGCGAGCGUUAAUCGGAAUUACAGGGCGUAAAGCGUACGUAGGCGGUUGGUUAAGUUAGAUGUGAAAGCCCCGGGCUUAACCUGGGAACUGCAUUUAAAACUGGCGAACUAGAGUUGAGUAGAGGGGAGUGGAAUUUCAGGUGUAGCGGUGAAAUGUGUAGAGAUCUGAAGGAACACUAGUGGCGAAGGCGACUCCCUGGACUCGAACUGACGCUGAGGUACGAAAGCGUGGGUAGCAAACGGGAUUAGAAACCCCAGUAGUCC
RNAcentral lists this ribosomal RNA (274 nucleotides) under uncultured bacterium. Its description in RNAcentral is "partial 16S ribosomal RNA". It matches the Rfam family "Bacterial small subunit ribosomal RNA", at positions 523 to 796 of the family's 1533-position model. The record is from RNAcentral.